GGGACGAAGACGCAGCAGUUUUUCCGGUUCGUUGUCCAGGAUCGGCAAGACGGACAGCUUUGAAGUCGGUCGCCGGAUGACGCUGCUACCAACCUUCACGUCCGCAGUGCGCACAAGACCGUCCGGUCCAGGGACCACCAUUUGAGGGCGGACGUUCGGCAUCUCCUUCCGGUUCUUUCCUCUUGGCUGGAGGGUCGUCAGGUAGUCCCGUCGCCAAGCUCUCCAGAAGUGCUCUCGCAAGAGCUGCAGGUGCUGCCACUUGGACAGCCGGUUUGUCGGUGUUCCCUCGUACGCCGGUUCCGGGAUUGCCGUCAGCGGAC
Molecule: long non-coding RNA, 320 nt
Organism: Culex pipiens pallens (northern house mosquito)
Lineage: Eukaryota; Metazoa; Arthropoda; Insecta; Diptera; Culicidae
Exons: 2
Source: RefSeq, a predicted model, not a curated record